AGAGUUUGAUCCUGGCUCAGAAUCAACGCUGGCGGCGUGCCUCAGACAUGCAAGUCGAACGCGAAAGCGCCCUUCGGGGUGCAAGUAGAGUGGCGCACGGGUGAGUAACACGUAGGUAAUCUACCUUUGGAUGGGGAAUAACAACCGGAAACGGUUGCUAAUACCGCAUAAUGCAGCGGCACCUAAUGGUGACAGUUGUUAAAGCGGGGGAUCGAAAGACCUCGCGUCUGAAGAGGAGCCUGCGGCGGAUUAGCUAGUUGGUAAGGUAAUGGCUUACCAAGGCGAUGAUCCGUAACCGGCCUGAGAGGGCGGUCGGUCACACUGACACUGACAUACGGGUCAGACUCCUACGGGAGGCAGCAGUCGGGAAUUUUGGGCAAUGGGCGAAAGCCUGACCCAGCAACGCCGCGUGAAGGAUGAAAUCCCUCGGGAUGUAAACUUCGCAAGAACAGGAAGAAUAAGUAAGGGUUAAUAUCUCUUACGAUGACGGUACUGUUUGUAAGCUCCGGCUAACUCCGUGCCAGCAGCCGCGGUAAUACGGGGGGAGCAAGCGUUGUUCGGAUUUACUGGGCGUAAAGGGCGCGUAGGCGGCCACCGCAAGUCGAUUGUGAAAUCUCCGGGCUUAACCCGGAAAGGUCAACCGAUACUGCGGGGCUAGAGUGCAGAAGGGGCAACUGGAAUUCUCGGUGUAGCGGUGAAAUGCGUAGAUAUCGAGAGGAACACCUGCGGCGAAGGCGGGUUGCUGGGCUGACACUGACGCUGAAGUGCGAAAGCUAGGGGAGCGAACGGGAUUAGAUACCCCAGUAGUCC
RNAcentral lists this ribosomal RNA (810 nucleotides) under uncultured bacterium. RNAcentral describes it as "bacterial SSU rRNA". It matches the Rfam family "Bacterial small subunit ribosomal RNA", at positions 8 to 796 of the family's 1533-position model. The record is from RNAcentral.